CCCUACGGGGUGCAGCAGGCGCGAAAACUUUACAAUGCGGGAAACCGUGAUAAGGGAACUCCGAGUGUCUAGUAAAUGCGGACUGUCCGUAUGUUUAACAAGCAUGCGAAGAAAGGGCCGGGCAAGACCGGUGCCAGCCGCCGCGGUAAUACCGGCGGCUCGAGUGGUGGCCACUAUUACUGGGCUUAAAGCGUUCGUAGCUGGACUGUUAAGUUUCUUGGGAAAUCUACCGGCUUAACCGAUAGGCGUCCAAGGGAUACAGGCAAUCUAGGGACCGAGAGAGGUGAGGGGUACUUCAGGGGUAGGAGUGAAAUCCUGUAAUCC
RNAcentral lists this ribosomal RNA (324 nucleotides) under uncultured methanogenic archaeon. RNAcentral's name for it is "bacterial SSU rRNA". It matches the Rfam family "Archaeal small subunit ribosomal RNA", at positions 321 to 648 of the family's 1478-position model. Lineage: Archaea; Methanobacteriati; Methanobacteriota. The record is from RNAcentral.